GCGGCCACUUUCGUUUUACACGGAAACCGUCUAAAAUUUAACUAAAAUGCAGGAAUUGUGAAGAUUUCAGUAAUUUAGCAUGAAUUAAUGGUGCUAGUUCUCAAUAUAUGUGCAUUGUAUUGUCAAAAAGAGCCCAUAUUUAUGUAGCAGAACCUUUCUACUAUCCAAUAAAUGACUAAAAGUUUACAUUUUAACAAUUUUGUAAAACUGCUAUAUUUUGGGGCCAAAAAGGGGUCUUACUGGACCUACUCCUUUGU
This 257-nucleotide long non-coding RNA is filed under the name Mytilus galloprovincialis (Mediterranean mussel). The record is from RNAcentral. Lineage: Eukaryota; Metazoa; Mollusca; Bivalvia; Mytilida; Mytilidae.